The sequence is a small RNA, 84 nucleotides long. It matches the Rfam family "Flavo-1 RNA".
UUCUAGCCCCGAUUGACGCAUUUGUUUGAGCUCUUUUUUGUUUUUUUCAAACAAAAAAAGCGAGUGCGGAAAGCGGGAAAUUGC